This 254-nucleotide ribosomal RNA is filed under the name uncultured bacterium. RNAcentral's name for it is "partial 16S ribosomal RNA". It matches the Rfam family "Bacterial small subunit ribosomal RNA", at positions 524 to 776 of the family's 1533-position model. The record is from RNAcentral.
UACGUAGGGGGCAAGCGUUGUCCGGAUUUAUUGGGCGUAAAGAGCUCGUAGGCGGUCUGUCGCGUCGAUCGUGAAAACUUGGGGCUUAACCCUGAGCUUGCGGUCGAUACGGGCAUGACUGGAGUUCGGCAGGGGAGACUGGAAUUCCUGGUGUAGCGGUGAAAUGCGCAGAUAUCAGGAGGAACACCGGUGGCGAAGGCGGGUCUCUGGGCCGAUACUGACGCUGAGGAGCGAAAGCGUGGGGAGCAAACAGG